CUUUAUUGGAGAGUUUGAUCCUGGCUCAGGACGAACGCUGGCGGCGUGCCUAAUACAUGCAAGUCGAGCGA
This 71-nucleotide ribosomal RNA is filed under the name Mesobacillus foraminis. RNAcentral's name for it is "Bacillus foraminis partial 16S ribosomal RNA". It matches the Rfam family "Bacterial small subunit ribosomal RNA", at positions 1 to 69 of the family's 1533-position model. The record is from RNAcentral. Lineage: Bacteria; Bacillati; Bacillota; Bacilli; Caryophanales; Bacillaceae.